GUGUCAGCCGCCGCGGUAAUACGGAGGGGGCUAGCGUUGUUCGGAAUUACUGGGCGUAAAGCGCACGUAGGCGGUUGCGCAUGUCAGAUGUGAAAGCCCCGGGCUUAACCUGGGAAUUGCAUUUGAAACUGCGCGGCUAGAGGCCGGAAGAGGGUAGUGGAAUUCCCAGUGUAGAGGUGAAAUUCGUAGAUAUUGGGAAGAACACCAGUGGCGAAGGCGGCUACCUGGUCCGGUUCUGACGCUGAGGUGCGAAAGCGUGGGGAGCAAACAGGAUUAGAAACCCCCGUAGUCC
This 292-nucleotide ribosomal RNA is filed under the name uncultured bacterium. Its description in RNAcentral is "partial 16S ribosomal RNA". It matches the Rfam family "Bacterial small subunit ribosomal RNA", at positions 505 to 796 of the family's 1533-position model. The record is from RNAcentral.